GACAGAGGGUGCAAGCGUUGUUCGGAAUUAUUGGGCGUAAAGGGCGCGUAGGCGGCCUUGUAAGUCAGAUGUGAAAUCCCUGGGCUUAACCCAGGAAGUGCAUCUGAUACUGCUUGGCUUGAGUGCCGGAGAGGGUGGUGGAAUUCCCAGUGUAGAGGUGAAAUUCGUAGAUAUGACAUAGAACACCAAUUGCGAAGGCAGCUGGCUACACAUAUAUUGACACUGAUGCACGAAAGCGUGGGGAUCAAACAGG
RNAcentral lists this ribosomal RNA (253 nucleotides) under uncultured bacterium. Its description in RNAcentral is "partial 16S ribosomal RNA". It matches the Rfam family "Bacterial small subunit ribosomal RNA", at positions 524 to 776 of the family's 1533-position model. The record is from RNAcentral.